AACUCGCGCGCACCUCUAGGAGCCUCGCUACUGCUGCUGCCGCGCGCCCCCGCCGCCUUCUCCAGCGCGCUCACCCAGCAGGGACACGCCGGGUCGUGCGUCCUCAGUCCCGUGAGCGCGCACGCACGCACGCACCCGCCUCGGGUACUCUGGCCGCCGGAACUCGGACUUUCGCCUGUCGCGCGCAGGCUGUAGAGGCCGCUGCGGGCAGCUGAGGGAGGGGGUGAUGGCCUCAAAUGAAGACUGGAAGGACAACGGUUUUUUCACAAGACAACUAAAGCCCAAGCAUCUGAAGUCAUUUGACCCUAUUACAGCAUCCUAACCCAUGAGGCCAUGAUAUUUUGUGCAGGAUGAAGAGGCCAGAUAUAUGAAAAUUCAUCACUGCCUAGUUGAUGAUGACCACCUGGUGUCCCAAGUGUCACAAGAAGAAACACCUUUUGGAACCAUGCACUGGACCGAUGGACAGUACCAGACAUUAGCUCAGCAUCACAAAUCAGUAAAAUCCUGCUGCCCUCUUUGGGGAACUUAAUCACUAAACCAGAUGUCCAUGGGUGCUUGCAGUAUUUGGUUCAGUCUUAUUUCUAUCAUCUCUGGAUAAAAAGAGCCCUUAUUUCUAUCAUCUCUGGAUAAAAAGAGGGCUGGGGAUUUAGCUUGGUGGUAUAAGUGCCUGCCUGGCAAGCACAAGGUUGUGAGUUCAAUCCCCGGUACCAAAGAAUAAAAAUAAAAAAAGA
Molecule: long non-coding RNA, 731 nt
Organism: Cavia porcellus (domestic guinea pig)
Lineage: Eukaryota; Metazoa; Chordata; Mammalia; Rodentia; Caviidae
Exons: 2
Source: RefSeq, a predicted model, not a curated record